This 783-nucleotide ribosomal RNA is filed under the name Bourdotigloea grisea. RNAcentral describes it as "partial large subunit ribosomal RNA". It matches the Rfam family "Eukaryotic large subunit ribosomal RNA", at positions 76 to 859 of the family's 3401-position model. The record is from RNAcentral. Lineage: Eukaryota; Fungi; Basidiomycota; Atractiellomycetes; Atractiellales; Phleogenaceae.
UCCCCUAGUAACGGCGAGUGAAGCGGGAAGAGCUCAAAUUUGUAAUCUGGCCGGUCUCCGGUCCGAGUUGUAAUCUGUAGAGCUGUCACUGUGCCAGUCCUCUCAUGAGUCCGUUGGAAUACGGCGUCAAAGAGGGUGAGAACCCCGUUCUUGGUGAGGUCUCUGGUGCUCUGUGUGAUGGUUUCUAAGAGUCGAGUUGUUUGGGAAUGCAGCUCAAAUUGGGAGGUAGAUUCCUUCUAAAGCUAAAUAUUGGCGAGAGACCGAUAGCAAACAAGUACCGUGAGGGAAAGAUGAAAAGCACUUUGGAAAGAGAGUUAACAGUACGUGAAAUUGUUGAAAAGGAAACGAUUGAAGCCAGACGUGCCCAACCGUGUUCAGCCUUUUGGUGUACUCACGGUGGCAGGCUAACAUCGGUUUUGAGGGUCGGAUAAGGGUAGGGGGAAUGUGGCAGCUUCGGUUGUGUUAUAGCCCCUUGCUUGAUACGGCUUUUGAGACUGAGGACCGCGGCUCGCCUCAUGGCAGGGGAUUUGUCCUCUUCCGAGCCUAGGAUGUUGGCGUAAUGGCUUUAAACGACCCGUCUUGAAACACGGACCAAGGAGUCUAACAUGCUUGCGAGUGUUUGGGUGUCAAACCCCUGGCGUGAAAUGAAAGUUGAAUGUAGGUGGGACCCGCAAGGUGCACCAUCGACCGACUCGGAGUCUUUGACGAUGGGUUUGANUAAUAGCAAGUAUGUUGGGACCCGAAAGAUGGUGAACUAUGCCUGGAUAGGGUGAAGCCAGAGGA